GAUGAACGCGGGCGGCGUGCCUAACACAUGCAAGUCGAGCGAGGGUUUGCUCAGUAUUGAGUAUUCUAAGACUAGAAUGUUCAAUUCUGAGCAAAACCAAGCGGCGGACGGGUGAGUAACGCGUGGGUAACCUGCCCUAUACACAUGGAUAACAUACUGAAAAGUUUACUAAUACAUGAUAAUAUAUAUUUGUGGCAUCGCAGAUAUAUCAAAGUGUUAGCGGUAUAGGAUGGACCCGCGUCUGAUUAGCUAGUUGGUGAGAUAACUGCCCACCAAGGCGACGAUCAGUAGCCGACCUGAGAGGGUGAUCGGCCACAUUGGAACUGAGACACGGUCCAAACUCCUACGGGAGGCAGCAGUGGGGAAUAUUGCACAAUGGGCGAAAGCCUGAUGCAGCAACGCCGCGUGAACGAUGAAGGUCUUCGGAUCGUAAAGUUCUGUUGCAGGGGAAGAUAAUGACGGUACCCUGUGAGGAAGCCCCGGCUAACUACGUGCCAGCAGCCGCGGUAAUACGUAGGGGGCUAGCGUUAUCCGGAUUUACUGGGCGUAAAGGGUGCGUAGGUGGUCCUUCAAGUCGGUGGUUAAAGGCUACGGCUCAACCGUAGUAAGCCGCCGAAACUGGAGGACUUGAGUGCAGGAGAGGAAAGUGGAAUUCCCAGUGUAGCGGUGAAAUGCGUAGAUAUUGGGAGGAACACCAGUAGCGAAGGCGGCUUUCUGGACUGCAACUGACACUGAGGCACGAAAGCGUGGGUAGCAAACAGG
This 762-nucleotide ribosomal RNA is filed under the name uncultured Peptostreptococcus sp. RNAcentral's name for it is "bacterial SSU rRNA". It matches the Rfam family "Bacterial small subunit ribosomal RNA", at positions 28 to 776 of the family's 1533-position model. Lineage: Bacteria; Bacillati; Bacillota; Clostridia; Peptostreptococcales; Peptostreptococcaceae. The record is from RNAcentral.